RNAcentral lists this ribosomal RNA (366 nucleotides) under uncultured organism. RNAcentral's name for it is "bacterial SSU rRNA". It matches the Rfam family "Bacterial small subunit ribosomal RNA", at positions 526 to 896 of the family's 1533-position model. The record is from RNAcentral.
CGGAGGAUCCAAGCGUUAUCCGGAAUCAUUGGGUUUAAAGGGUCCGUAGGCGGGUUUAUAAGUCAGUGGUGAAAGCCCAUCGCUCAACGAUGGAACGGCCAUUGAUACUGUAGAUCUUGAAUUAUUAGGAAGUAACUGGAAUAUGUAGUGUAGCGGUGAAAUGCUUAGAGAUUACAUGGAAUACCAAUUGCGAAGGCAGGUUACUACUAAUGGAUUGACGCUGAUGGACGAAAGCGUGGGUAGCGAACAGGAUUAGAUACCCUGGUAGUCCACGCCGUAAACGAUGGAUACUAGCUGUUCGGAGCAAUCUGAGUGGCUAAGCGAAAGUGAUAAGUAUCCCACCUGGGGAGUACGUUCGCAAGAAUG